Molecule: ribosomal RNA, 727 nt
Filed under: Conoideocrella sp. BCC 36101
Lineage: Eukaryota; Fungi; Ascomycota; Sordariomycetes; Hypocreales; Clavicipitaceae
Description: LSU rRNA
Rfam family: Eukaryotic large subunit ribosomal RNA
Source: RNAcentral
CUUUUGAUGAGUGCCUUCCGAGUUCCCUGGAACGGGACGCCAUAGAGGGUGAGAGCCCCGUCUGGUUGGAUACCGAGUCUCUGUAAAGCUCCUUCGACGAGUCGAGUAGUUUGGGAAUGCUGCUCUAAAUGGGAGGUAUAUGUCUUCUAAAGCUAAAUACCGGCCAGAGACCGAUAGCGCACAAGUAGAGUGAUCGAAAGAUGAAAAGCACUUUGAAAAGAGGGUUAAACAGUACGUGAAAUUGUUGAAAGGGAAGCGUUCAUGACCAGACUUGGACCCGGCGAAUCAUCCAGCGUUCUCGCUGGUGCACUUUGCCGGGCUCAGGCCAGCAUCAGUUUGCCCCGGGGGAUAAAGGCUUUGGGAAUGUGGCUCCUCCGGGAGUGUUAUAGCCCGCUGCACAAUACUCUGGGGCGGACUGAGGUUCGCGCAUCUGCAUGGAUGCUGGCGUAAUGGUCAUCAGCGACCCGUCUUGAAACACGGACCAAGGAGUCGUCUUCGUAUGCGAGUGUUCGGGUGUCAAACCCCUACGCGUAAUGAAAGUGAACGCAGGUGAGAGCUUCGGCGCAUCAUCGACCGAUCCUGAUGUUCUCGGAUGGAUUUGAGUAAGAGCAUACCGGGCCGGACCCGAAAGAAGGUGAACUAUGCCUGUAUAGGGUGAAGCCAGAGGAAACUCUGGUGGAGGCUCGCAGCGGUUCUGACGUGCAAAUCGAUCGUCAAAUAUGGGCAU